UACAGAGGUCCCAAGCGUUGUUCGGAAUCACUGGGCGUAAAGCGCACGUAGGCGGACUCUUAAGUCGGUGGUGAAAUCCUGGAGCUCAACUCCAGAACUGCCUUCGAUACUGGGAGUCUCGAGUCCGGGAGAGGUGAGUGGAACUGCGAGUGUAGAGGUGAAAUUCGUAGAUAUUCGCAAGAACACCAGUGGCGAAGGCGGCUCACUGGCCCGGUACUGACGCUGAGGUGCGAAAGCGUGGGGAGCAAACAGG
Molecule: ribosomal RNA, 253 nt
Filed under: uncultured bacterium
Lineage: Bacteria
Description: partial 16S ribosomal RNA
Rfam family: Bacterial small subunit ribosomal RNA
Source: RNAcentral